GGGCAGGUAGCUCAGUUGGUAGAGCAACGGACUGAAAAUCCGUGUGUCGGCGGUUCGAUUCCACUCCUGCCCA
Molecule: transfer RNA, 73 nt
Filed under: Planctomycetota bacterium
Lineage: Bacteria; Pseudomonadati; Planctomycetota
Also listed under: 2 other names
Description: Planctomycetes bacterium (marine sediment metagenome) tRNA-Phe
Rfam family: tRNA
About the family: Transfer RNA (tRNA) molecules are approximately 80 nucleotides in length. Their secondary structure includes four short double-helical elements and three loops (D, anti-codon, and T loops).
Source: RNAcentral